Molecule: long non-coding RNA, 211 nt
Filed under: Brassica napus (rape)
Lineage: Eukaryota; Viridiplantae; Streptophyta; Magnoliopsida; Brassicales; Brassicaceae
Description: long non-coding RNA (BNAP_LNC017522)
Source: RNAcentral
GUUUAGAAUUUAGAAUUUAGGGUUUAGGGUUUAGGGUUUAGAGUUUAGGGUUUAGAGUUUAGAGUUUAGGGUUUAAGGUUUAGGGUUUAGGGUUUAGGGUUUAGAAUUUAGGGUUUAGGGUUUAGAGUUUAGGGUUUAGGGAUUAGGGUUUAGGGUUUAGAAUUUAGGGUUUAGGGUUUAGAAUUUAGGGUUUAGGGUUUAGAGUUGAGAA